RNAcentral lists this ribosomal RNA (497 nucleotides) under uncultured bacterium. Its description in RNAcentral is "partial 16S ribosomal RNA". It matches the Rfam family "Bacterial small subunit ribosomal RNA", at positions 28 to 507 of the family's 1533-position model. The record is from RNAcentral.
GAUGAACGCUGGCGGCGUGCCUAAUACAUGCAAGUCGAGCGAACAGACGAGGAGCUUGCUCCUCUGACGUUAGCGGCGGACGGGUGAGUAACACGUGGAUAACCUACCUAUAAGACUGGGAUAACUUCGGGAAACCGGAGCUAAUACCGGAUAAUAUAUUGAACCGCAUGGUUCAAUAGUGAAAGACGGUUUUGCUGUCACUUAUAGAUGGAUCCGCGCCGCAUUAGCUAGUUGGUAAGGUAACGGCUUACCAAGGCAACGAUGCGUAGCCGACCUGAGAGGGUGAUCGGCCACACGGGAACUGAGACACGGUCCAGACUCCUACGGGAGGCAGCAGUAGGGAAUCUUCCGCAAUGGGCGAAAGCCUGACGGAGCACCGCCGCGUGAGUGAUGAAGGUCUUCGGCUCGGAAAACUCUGUUAUUAGGGAAGAACAAAUGUGUAAGUAACUAUGCACGUAUUGACGGUACCUGAUCAGAAAGCCACGGCUAACUACGUG